Molecule: microRNA precursor, 91 nt
Filed under: Vriesea carinata
Lineage: Eukaryota; Viridiplantae; Streptophyta; Magnoliopsida; Poales; Bromeliaceae
Description: miR10206b stem-loop (vca-MIR10206b)
Source: miRBase by way of RNAcentral
UUUACUAUAGACAGAUCAGGUACAUUGAAUCUAGUUUGAUUUAAUUAGUGAUUUAUGACUGCAUUCAAUGUAUCUAUCUGUCAAUAGUAAA